UUUAUUUUCUCAAGCUUAAUAAAAAACGCUGUAUCCUUUGACCAUUGUGAGUGGGAUGGUGGGACAGAGGACUUCCACUGAAGAAGAAGGCGACGUCUGGCCAACAAUGAUAAUUCACUUCGAAGAAACAGAACAGUCUGAUAUUUGUUCCCAGUCCGUCCUGAUCGUCUUGAAGUCGUAUUUUAUCCCCGUCUCGUCUACAGCACCGGUGAAUUCUGCAGUUCAGGUGUUGAUUCAGCUUAUCGACUUAUAACUCAGUCAAAGUGUUUUGUACAGUCAAAAAUAUAAGCCUCAUAAUACACAGGUUAUAAAUGUGUAUUAGCUGAUAAUGUUAUGAUGAAGUUUUAUGUAAGAAGACAUUUAAGUUACAUUUGCUGAAGCCGGCUCCAUGCCAAUACUUCGUUAUCUGUCAAAGGAAUAUUUUCAGAGUAGGAUGAUUUAUUAAGUUAUAGUAAUUAUAAUUACAAAGCAACAUUCUUGUUACGUGAAAAGGAACCAUCUUUGUUGUGGAAACAAGAUUGUUUCAUGUCAGGCUCAAUCACACAAUCCUAAAAACUAGUUCCUCAAACACACCACCACCCUCAAGUGUUUUAUUCGUUUCUGACACACGAUCGGUCCGACCACAGAACCAUCAUUUCCCUAUAUCCACAACAUUCCUGCAUUUAAACAAACAUUUGGUUAUUGUUGUCAAAUUCAGAAAACACCACUAAGUUUUUUAAAACGAUUUAGCAAGCAGGAAAGGAAGCUACCAGUUAGGAGAUUUUAAAGGUAGUUCAUUUGUUGAUAUGGUUUAAAAAGGAUUCUGAUGAUUCAUCAUCAGAAAUGUGGUUUUGGUCAAGACUACUGCUGAGGAACAGGACAGAAAUAAUGUGUGGUUAAAUCCAACAGUGUUUAUUGCACAAAUGAAGAAAUUUGUUUGGUUUUAAUCAGCAGCAUUUUUACGACGACUCACUGUCUUAUUAACUAAGUUUGGAACUUUUAUACUUGAUAAAAUGAGGUGUGUGUGUGUGUGUGUGUGUGGGUGGGUGUGUAUUAGACUGCUUGUGAACUCUGAACUGCUGUUAAUUUAAUUUAAGAUGGUCAUACAUUAAUGAACUGCAAUUUACUCAAACUAUGGUCCUGUUUGUCCUGUUUGUGCAGGCCAAUAAAAGAAGCUUUGCAUGACA
Tachysurus fulvidraco (yellow catfish) is the source of this 1166-nucleotide long non-coding RNA. RefSeq lists it as uncharacterized. The record is from RefSeq and is a predicted model, not a curated record. The transcript is spliced from 2 exons. Lineage: Eukaryota; Metazoa; Chordata; Actinopteri; Siluriformes; Bagridae.